AUACAUAUUGAUUAACAAAAUCAUCACCUUUCUUAUUUAAAUAAAAUAAAAUUAAUAUUUGUAAUGUCAGCUAUGUCCAAUAUUUAUGUCAAAUAUCUGUCACAAUACAUCACUCUCCUUAGAAAUUUUGGACUCCAAAAUAAAAUAAAUAAUAAAGAAUAUUUAAGAGAAAUUGUGUAAAUUUUAUGUCAACUAUAUUAAUUUGAAAAUGGAUUUAUAACUUUUAAUUAUUAAUGUAAGUAAAUAAUCAAUAUCCAUAUUUAAACCGCAAAACAAUAUAGAAGACAAGCAAUUUAGUGAUGAAAAACCAAUGGAUGUAUAAACAUAUAGCAUUUAGUAUUUGAUUUUAAGCGAUAAAAAAUUUGAAUUUAUUUUUAAU
Molecule: long non-coding RNA, 379 nt
Filed under: Mytilus galloprovincialis (Mediterranean mussel)
Lineage: Eukaryota; Metazoa; Mollusca; Bivalvia; Mytilida; Mytilidae
Source: RNAcentral